CGAACUGUAAUAUUAUUUGUGUACAUUUAUAACCAAAUCGUUUUUUUUAUUUUCAGACGAUCAUUUCAACACAGAAAAGUAAUUGGAAGUCCAACAGGGGAACCACCAGAGGCGAAUCCUAAUGUGAGCAACUGGGAAGAUCCUGUGCCACAACACACUCCUGAGAGACCAAACACCCUUGAGAGGACAAACACUCCUGAAAAACCGACCCCUGAUGGUACUGAUAUAGAUCCUGACUGUUGUCUACACGAUAGUCCACAUUUUCGGGCUAUUCCAGGGUCACGAAAGUAUGUGGCUAACCACAAAAGAAAUAAGUACAGAGAAGGUAAACCAUCAGAGGAAACCUGGUACUCGAGAGACAAUUUAAAAGAAAGUUUCGCUAAACAAGCAUUCCACAGUUUUAAUUGUUUUACACGACGAAACCUACCACUAGAGCCAGAAACAAAUGAAGAACCGGAAAUAACUGCCGAAACAUCAUCUCUUAUUCGUCGAAGAAAACAAGAGUAAGUAUUCACAUAACCUGUUUUCUCUAUUUCUACAUAGUAAAAUUGUCAACUUGAUCACCAUCCAGCAGCAGAUCCUCUCCAAAUUUUCUGAAUGGAAAGCCUCUCCUAACAUGUUCGUUGGGAACUGCAUGUCAUUCAAUAGACUUCAUGAAAUAUGACAAGGACCACUAGCCGUGGCCACUUAUUCUCCUUCAGAGGUGCUCUGAAAUGUGACAUCGAGAUCAGAGGAAGGGAGGACGAGAUGGGACUAGUUGAGGGGGAACAGAUCUGGACCCCUGGAGUGGGCCAUGAUCAUAAUGAACAGUCUCUUUUAAAAAUCAAAAUACCAAAAAAAAAAAAAAAAAAAAAAAAAAAAAAAAACAUUUCAAUUACUAAAAAAGUGGUUCCUACUUAGAGAACUCUGAUUUUCUGCAUGGUUACCAUAUUGCUUUAAAAAGUCGAUAAAAUCCUUGAGAUGACAGUUGCUAUUGUAUUCCCAGCAUUGACAGAGGCAUGUAAGGGAAACACAAAUUAUUUUGAUACAAAAAUUAAUUACUAGGCCUUGAAGUACUAUUCGAUGAGCGUACUUAAACUGUAAAAAAAUAUGUUUCACGCAAACCCUAUGCAUAUGGUUCCUUUUAGUAUUUAUACGUCCAAAUGUGAGUUCUGACUCCGAAAAUGAGGGCUCGGACAGAUUUCCUUGAUGCUUAAAAAGUAAUGUCGAAUCCAUUGAGAAUGCGUUCACUAAAAAAAUUAAUUAUUCACAGAACGGAAGGUGGAGGCUCAACCUCAAAUAGUUCUUGAGCGAAAAUUUCAAUAGCUUUUGACUGCAACAUCUCUCGACUCUUCACAUGAAAUGAAAAGUACACAAUUUUCCUUAACAACACUCCGUUUCGACUUCACUUUCAGUAAGAGAUGCCAAAAUCGUAAAACACCCUGGUAAAAAUGAUCAGUUGAGCAUGUAUCAGUAUGUCAAUGGCGUUUUGGCGCGGAGCAUCAGUAGACAUCAAUAGAGAUCGGGUCAGUUGAAAGUAUCAACUGAUCUUAACUGAUAUCAGUUGGAAGUAUCAACAGAUCUGAAAUGAUACUUGGUAUCAGUUGGUACCAUGCACCAACUGAUACGACAUAAUUUAAAAACGCAUUAUUUGUUUGUGUAAUUUAACGUAUUUUUUCAGUUUCUCACGUUUACCUCACGAAGUGACGACCAGAGAGCGCUGCGGGGAAUUACCGUUCUCGUAUUUCUGACACGAGACUUAGCAGGCCGCGCUCAUUCCCAAACGGUCUCCCAUCUAAGUACUAACUACGCUCGGCGUUGCUUAACCUCGGUGAUCGUCCAAGAGACAGAGCCACUACUCCAUCUGCGCAUGCGAUCAAACUAGACGUAUUUUCGCCAUUUCAGGGCCACUAGAAUCAUUUUGACAGAAAGUGAUGAUUUUGUGUUGAAUUUGAAUCUACACUCAAUUUUUUCAUUUUAUUUUUUAAUCACUUAAAAUAUACGUGAAGUUUCACAAGUUAUGUUUCCUGAAAGAUGAGACUGAGAAACACAAAAUGCAAAACCAAAAAUUAUAAUUAAAGAUGUAAAAAAAAAGAUGAAAUUAUGAAACAUUAGUAAUCAACUUAUAAGAAAUUGAAAAUAAUCAUGAAAAAAAUUUGAAAACAAAUAAUUAAAUCUUUACUGCGGGAGGGUUACAAAAAUUUCAUCUAACAUUUAUAUGAAUUUAAUGUGAAAAAAAUAAUUCAUCAAAGUAAUUAUAUGUGUUUUCGUCACAUUCUUUUCAUGUAAUUUUUAAGUGUAAAUUAUGGAAAAAAAUAUUUUCGAGUGGUGAGCGUUGAAGAAAUUAAUGUUUUUAUAUGAAU
This 2342-nucleotide long non-coding RNA is filed under the name Bemisia tabaci. RNAcentral's name for it is "lncRNA ENSSSA1NGG013250". Lineage: Eukaryota; Metazoa; Arthropoda; Insecta; Hemiptera; Aleyrodidae. The record is from RNAcentral.